Molecule: ribosomal RNA, 466 nt
Filed under: uncultured bacterium
Lineage: Bacteria
Description: partial 16S ribosomal RNA
Rfam family: Bacterial small subunit ribosomal RNA
Source: RNAcentral
GACGAACGCUGGCGGCGUGCUUAACACAUGCAAGUCGAACGGUAAGGCUCCAGCUUGCUGGGGUACACGAGUGGCGAACGGGUGAGUAACACGUGGGUGACCUGCCCUGCACUUCGGGAUAAGCCUGGGAAACUGGGUCUAAUACCGGAUAGGACCAUGGUGUGGAUACUGUGGUGGAAAGUUUUUUCGGUGUGGGAUGGGCCCGCGGCCUAUCAGCUUGUUGGUGGGGUAAUGGCCUACCAAGGCGGCGACGGGUAGCCGGCCUGAGAGGGUGGACGGCCACAUUGGGACUGAGACACGGCCCAGACUCCUACGGGAGGCAGCAGUGGGGAAUAUUGCACAAUGGGCGGAAGCCUGAUGCAGCGACGCCGCGUGGGGGAUGACGGCCUUCGGGUUGUAAACGCCUUUCACCAUCGACGAAGGGUUUCUGACGGUAGAUGGAGAAGAAGCACCGGCUAACUACGUG